This 659-nucleotide long non-coding RNA is filed under the name Mus musculus (house mouse). RNAcentral describes it as "long non-coding RNA chr12:25386693-25387352". The record is from RNAcentral. Lineage: Eukaryota; Metazoa; Chordata; Mammalia; Rodentia; Muridae.
GGUGUGUAGCAGGUCCUGGACAUUCUAAGGGAAGAAUUAAAAAAAAAAAAAAGGAACCACAUGUGGCAAAGAUUUGAAUUUUCAUACUGCCCGUGAACAGAGACACCCUCCAUUGUUCCUCAUCUCACUGCAGAUGGAGUUCUGGGGGAUGUGUCUAUACAGUGGGAAUGGUGUGAAGAUGGCUUUAACUGGAUGUUGUUCAUUUGGCCUUUCUGAGUCAUUUUCUCUGAAGUUUAUUCUCAUUUUCUAUGAUAGGACCAUCCAGAAAAUGUCCUUCACUCUAUUAAAUCCUGGCUCAUGGGAAUGCCCAGUGUAGUUCCUCUCAGCCACGGAAUCUCCACACUUGGGGCCUCUUAUAGUGAUAUAAACCUAGUGCUGCUUAUAGUCUAAUGCUAAUUUGGGAUUCCCAAGACUGGUGCCCAUAGAUGAGAGAGUCCACACUUUGCAUGGAAUGAGUGACCCGACCCUUUCCCCCCACCCCAGUUAAUUGUGAUUGGUAAAUAAAGAUGCCAACAGCUAAUAGCUGUGCAGCAGACACAUAGGUGGGGUUGAAGUUUCAAGGGCUUGGAGAGAGGACCAUGAGGAUGGAAAAAGAAGAACACACAAGAGGGAGAAGGAGAGCUGCCAUGGGCUAGGGGCCAUGAGAACAUGGCCUAAGA